Molecule: ribosomal RNA, 521 nt
Filed under: uncultured Glomus
Lineage: Eukaryota; Fungi; Glomeromycota; Glomeromycetes; Glomerales; Glomeraceae
Description: SSU rRNA
Rfam family: Eukaryotic small subunit ribosomal RNA
Source: RNAcentral
AGCAGCCGCGGUAAUUCCAGCUCCAAUAGCGUAUAUUAAAGUUGUUGCAGUUAAAAAGCUCGUAGUUGAAUUUCGGGAUCAAUAUGUCGGUCGUGCUUCGGUACGUACUGGCGUUAUUGGUUUCUCCCUUCUGAAGAACCGCGAUGUCAUUAAUUUGGUGUCGUGGGGAAUCAGGACUGUUAGUUUGAAAAAAUUAGAGUGUUUAAAGCAGGCUCGCGCUUGAAUACAUUAGCAUGGAAUAAUGAAAUAGGACGUUUGAUUCUAUUUUGUUGGUUUCUAGGAUCGACGUAAUGAUUAAUAGGGAUAGUUGGGGGCAUUAGUAUUCAAUUGUCAGAGGUGAAAUUCUUGGAUUUAUUGAAGACUAACUACUGCGAAAGCAUUUGCCAAGGAUGUUUUCAUUAAUCAAGAACGAAAGUUAGGGGAUCGAAGACGAUCAGAUACCGUCGUAGUCUUAACCAUAAACUAUGCCGACUAGGGAUCGGAUGAUGUUAAUUUUUUAAUGACUCAUUCGGCGCCUUACG